RNAcentral lists this ribosomal RNA (446 nucleotides) under uncultured Anoxybacillus sp. RNAcentral describes it as "bacterial SSU rRNA". It matches the Rfam family "Bacterial small subunit ribosomal RNA", at positions 939 to 1382 of the family's 1533-position model. The record is from RNAcentral. Lineage: Bacteria; Bacillati; Bacillota; Bacilli; Caryophanales; Anoxybacillaceae.
AUGUGGUUUAAUUCGAAGCAACGCGAAGAACCUUACCAGGUCUUGACAUCCCCUGACAACCGAGAGAUCGGGCGUUCCCCCUUCGGGGGACAGGGUGACAGGUGGUGCAUGGUUGUCGUCAGCUCGUGUCGUGAGAUGUUGGGUUAAGUCCCGCAACGAGCGCAACCCUCGACCUUAGUUGCCAGCAUUCAGUUGGGCACUCUAAGGUGACUGCCGGCUAAAAGUCGGAGGAAGGUGGGGAUGACGUCAAAUCAUCAUGCCCCUUAUGACCUGGGCUACACACGUGCUACAAUGGGCGGUACAAAGGGUCGCGAACCCGCGAGGGGGGAGCCAAUCCCAAAAAGCCGCUCUCAGUUCGGAUUGCAGGCUGCAACUCGCCUGCAUGAAGUUGGAGUUGCUAGUAAACGCAGGUCAGCUAUACUGCGUUGAAUACGUUCCCGGGGUUU